GAGUUUGAAUCCUGGCUCAGGACGAACGCUGGCGGCGUGCUUAACACAUGCAAGUCGAACGAUGAAACCGCUUCGGUGGUGGAUUAGUGGCGAACGGGUGAGUAACACGUGGGCAAUCUGCCCUUCACUCUGGGACAAGCCCUGGAAACGGGGUCUAAUACCGGAUAACACUCUGUCCCGCAUGGGACGGGGUUGAAAGCUCCGGCGGUGAAGGAUGAGCCCGCGGCCUAUCAGCUUGUUGGUGGGGUAAUGGCCUACCAAGGCGACGACGGGUAGCCGGCCUGAGAGGGCGACCGGCCACACUGGGACUGAGACACGGCCCAGACUCCUACGGGAGGCAGCAGUGGGGAAUAUUGCACAAUGGGCGAAAGCCUGAUGCAGCGACGCCGCGUGAGGGAUGACGGCCUUCGGGUUGUAAACCUCUUUCAGCAGGGAAGAAGCGAAAGUGACGGUACCUGCAGAAGAAGCGCCGGCUAACUACGUGCCAGCAGCCGCGGUAAUACGUAGGGCGCAAGCGUUGUCCGGAAUUAUUGGGCGUAAAGAGCUCGUAGGCGGCUUGUCACGUCGGAUGUGAAAGCCCGGGGCUUAACCCCGGGUCUGCAUUCGAUACGGGCUAGCUAGAGUGUGGUAGGGGAGAUCGGAAUUCCUGGUGUAGCGGUGAAAUGCGCAGAUAUCAGGAGGAACACCGGUGGCGAAGGCGGAUCUCUGGGCCAUUACUGACGCUGAGGAGCGAAAGCGUGGGGAGCGAACAGGAUUAGAUACCCUGGUAGUCCACGCCGUAAACGUUGGGAACUAGGUGUUGGCGACAUUCCACGUCGUCGGUGCCGCAGCUAACGCAUAAGUCCCGCUGGAGAUCCCA
Molecule: ribosomal RNA, 859 nt
Filed under: Streptomyces badius
Lineage: Bacteria; Bacillati; Actinomycetota; Actinomycetes; Kitasatosporales; Streptomycetaceae
Description: bacterial SSU rRNA
Rfam family: Bacterial small subunit ribosomal RNA
Source: RNAcentral